UUAGGUUGGUGCAAAAGUAAUUGCAGUUUUUGUCACUUUUAAUUGCAAAAGCUGCAAUUACUUUUGCACCAACCUCAUAAUUUA
RNAcentral lists this microRNA precursor (84 nucleotides) under Saimiri boliviensis boliviensis (Bolivian squirrel monkey). RNAcentral's name for it is "miRNA (ENSSBOG00000002926.1)". Lineage: Eukaryota; Metazoa; Chordata; Mammalia; Primates; Cebidae. The record is from RNAcentral.